This is a long non-coding RNA of Austrofundulus limnaeus, 1611 nucleotides long. RefSeq lists it as uncharacterized. The transcript has 2 exons. NCBI's taxonomy places the organism in Eukaryota, Metazoa, Chordata, Actinopteri, Cyprinodontiformes, Rivulidae. The record is from RefSeq and is a predicted model, not a curated record.
CUUCCAGGCCAGUUGGAGGUGCUGUUUGCACUUUUUCACUAAGUUGAUUUAGUUAAUAGAAGAAAUGUAACAGGAAGUUAUUGUUUUCUCACAAAGCCUGCAAGCAUGGUGUAUCUCUUCUCAUCUACAGCCAUCCACUCCUUUACUUCCCUUUGAGUGGCAAUAUAAGCCUGAUUUCAUCUUCAUAGACGACAAUGUUCCAGCUUAUCAAGGUCACAUCAUCAGGGAACGGCUGUUGGAGACUGGUGUACCUCAAAUGGAAUGGCCUGCACUUUCUCCAGACCUGAAUCCCAUUGAAAACCUGUGGAAUCAGCUGAGCCACCUUGUAGAGGCUCGAAACUCUGCACCCCAGAACCUGAAUGACCUGAGGGCUGCCGUUCAAGAAGAGUGGGAUACCAUGCCCCAACAGAAAAUAAGUCGACUUGUGAACAGCAUAAGACGUCAUUGUCAAGCUGUAAUUGAUGCUCAAGGGCACAUGACGAGUUAUUGAGACGUUAUAAUUUUUUGUUGUUGUGUACCCACCAUUGUUGUUAACUUUUGUUUCAAUAAAUUGUUUGAGAUGAGGAAAUCACCAGUGCAUUCUUUUACUUAAAUGUCCUACUUUCAUAAUAUGAUAUCACUGUAGCGUGAACCUUUUACAUUUACCAUAAAAUUCACAUGAAAGCCAAAUAUCCCUAACUUUUUGUGAGUAGUGUAUUUAUCAGAACAUGCAACUACAGUCCAAGUCUUCUUUACAUCGCUGCGAUUAACAAGAAAAAGAAAUGUAGUGGAAACAUGAAUAUCUUCUCAAGAGACAGUCCUGUUAACUCCACCUUUUUCAUCCAGCCUGUGAUAUCUCAAAGUUUGAAUAAGGACUCCUGUUAAUUCAUCUGAUUCCUCACCCUUAGGCCUUAGAACAAAGGCUAGACUUCCUGUCGCCAGUUAAUUGGUUUAUCACCUCUUUCAGGAUAAGGCUGGAAUAAACAUUGUUUGACAUCAAAAGACUCCCAUCAGAUUUAUUUGUGGGUCAGCAACGCCACUCUGAAAAUAUUUUAUUUAUUUGUCACCCAUGUUUUCCGUUUAUAACUAUAAAAAAAGCAUCUGUGAAGUGUCAAAACAAUACCUUGGUACUCUGAUUUUAAUUACUGUAAUAAUCAUGACAUUGUUUAAGUAACUUGAUCUGGUUGAUUAACUAUUACUCUGUUCUUCUGUUACAUGUCUGGAGGGUGUCAUGUGACCACCGCAGAAAGUCUUAACCAAUGAGAAGUUCCGUUGUGAACAGGGAGUAUUUCGUUGUUCUGCCAUGUAGAGAGUUCUGAAGAAGCGUUUUGAGGAGAAAGCAGUUGUUUUUCAGUUCCAGCUUCCCCCAUCCCGGGGCGAGCUAGGCCAUUCUUUUCCACUUUUUACUUUUCAUAGUUUAAUCGUAAGGAGCUUCCAGGAGGUAGAUUUACAUUGAUUAAAACGAUGAGGCUGAUUUAAUUCAAGUCGGACGACCUCAGUGUGCUCGCAAGGAACGCAGCCACGGUGCUGGACAACAUCUCCAGUGAAUGCAGCCAGCAAACCAGAUGACCAGGGAACUUCUACACAACACAGAUAAGACUCGGUUGGACUUCACGUGCCACCCAAUUAGCC